CCUACGGGUGGCAGCAGUGAGGAAUAUUGGUCAAUGGGCGCGAGCCUGAACCAGCCAAGUAGCGUGAAGGAUGACUGCCCUACGGGUUGUAAACUUCUUUUAUAAAGGAAUAAAGUGAGGCACGUAUGCCUUUUUGAAUGUACUUUAUGAAUAAGGAUCGGCUAACUCCGUGCCAGCCGCGGCGGUAAUACGGAGGAUCCGAGCGUUCUCCGGAUUUAUGGGGUUGAAAGGGAGCGUAGAUGGGUUGUUAAGUCAGUUGUGAAAGUUUGCGGCUCAACCGUAAAAGUGCAAUUGAUACUGGCAGCCUGGAGUGUAGUUGAGGUAGGCGGAAUUCGUGGUGUAGGAGUGAAAUGCUUAGAUAUCACGAAGAACUCCGAUUGCGAAGGCAGCUUACUAAACCGUCACUGACACUGAUGCUCGAAAGUGUGGGUAGCAAACAGGAUUAGAUACCCCAGUAGUC
This 460-nucleotide ribosomal RNA is filed under the name uncultured bacterium. RNAcentral's name for it is "partial 16S ribosomal RNA". It matches the Rfam family "Bacterial small subunit ribosomal RNA", at positions 338 to 795 of the family's 1533-position model. The record is from RNAcentral.